Molecule: long non-coding RNA, 665 nt
Filed under: Citrus x clementina
Lineage: Eukaryota; Viridiplantae; Streptophyta; Magnoliopsida; Sapindales; Rutaceae
Description: Citrus clementina (C. clementina) long non-coding RNA (CCLE_LNC001741)
Source: RNAcentral
AUCAUUUAUUCUUAUUAAUAAAUCUCAAGAUAAACAAUCAUUAUUUAUACUCCAACUGAAUCCUUACAUAAAACAUAUGAAAUAAAGUCUCCAAAGUAAAGUCUCUAAUCCAAAAUAAAAAGUCUAGCCAAAUUUAAUCUUUAAAGCAACUCCAAAGAUCCACUAAGAAAAAUUCUCCAUCUAAGCACCCAAGCCACAUUUCUAAUCAAUCUGCAAAAUAUUAGAGACGAGGGGUGAGCCGUCAACUCGGUAAGCAAAUCCAUGCACAAUAUUUGAAAACCUUUGUCAUGUAUCAUUAAACAUUUUGUAACAACAUCUUCAUUUAGCAUAAGGGGUGGAUUCAUAUAAAAACAUUAAAGCGUAAACAUUGGUAGUUCAUGCCUCGUAGUCAUCAUCAUUCAUCAUUUAGGGUGUUAUACCCCGCAUUGUUCCUCAUUCAGGGUACUAUACUCCACAUUGUUCGUAACAUCCUUGUGCACAAGAUCAUCAUCAUAUCAGCAAGCUGGCCAUAACAUUUCAUAACAUCAUAACAUUAACAUCAUAUACAUUACUACGGACUAUGAGCCAAAACAUUUUUGAAUCCACCAUACAUUCUUUCAUAAAUAGCAGUUAAAGUAUUCUAAAACAUUUAAGAACCUUUCUUUGAUCAUUUAAUUCUUUUAGAA